Maylandia zebra (zebra mbuna) is the source of this 1627-nucleotide long non-coding RNA. RefSeq lists it as uncharacterized. The record is from RefSeq and is a predicted model, not a curated record. Lineage: Eukaryota; Metazoa; Chordata; Actinopteri; Cichliformes; Cichlidae.
CACCCCUGGGCUAGUCUCUCUUCUGGCUUCCAUCUCCAGAUCAACAGGCAAGUGGAGAGAACUAACCAGGUUCUCGAUGAGUCUACCCAUCAACCUGGAGCUCUCCGUUGUCCUGGAUCAGAAUCAAGCGGAAGAACAAGUAUCUGGCUGACUUCCACCAAAAACCUUCACUGAGCUACCUUCCAACUAUAGCCUGUUCGGUUCAGUCCAUUUUACGCACAGUUUAGAGUCUUGGUCACAAGUGUAGGAAGAAAUGAGCAAGAUACUGACAUGCUGAUCAAUGAACCAUCUGCAACGAUAUACAAGCUGAAUAGUGCUGGUGAAUAAACAUUCCUCACCUCACUUAUAUGGACAUGGGCUACUGAACUGCUGCUUAAGUGAUCUCUUUGGAGGAGGUGAUUGGAUUUCUGGAUCAGUGGUGGAUCUGACAGUGAGAUUGGGUGAAAACAUAACUCUGUAUUGUGACUCUACAAAACCACCUGAGGAAUAUAUUGUGUGGUACAGAAAUUGUACCCAUGAAAAUCAGCCUCCUCUUGUCCUAAAACUAACAAAGGAUUCGUGGAAACCCAUCUGUAACCGAGCAACUUUAGUGAAUUCUCUACCUCGCUUCCACUUUGUAAACAACCAGUCCUCUGGAUCGUAUGACCUGCUGAUUGUGAAUAUUUCUGAUUCUGAUGAGGGCCUCUAUUACUGUGGAACUGAGCAGAAACAGCUACAGGAUAAAAAGGAUAUUAACCUUGAAUUUGUUCAGAGUUAUGGCAGUGUGGCGACAAGGAUUAAAAUCAAUUUCAGUGAUCCACAUUCUUCAAUUUUAACUGGUCAAACAUCUCCACAAGACUGCGGCAUGUGUUGGAAACUGCUCUUCAUCCUGUGUCCAACUUUUGCAGCUCUCUCCUCUCUUGUCUCUCUUCUUGUUCAUUACCUCUGCCAGAAAACAGAAGUUGAUCAACAAAGACCAGAAACCAGUGGGAAAACAAGAAGAACUCAGGAUGAAGAUGUGCUUUAUGCUACAGUGGAAACACGUCAAGCAACAGAGCGAUCCAAGAAGAAGAUAACCUAUAGUUCUGACUUAUGCACCUAUUCUACUGUCAAGACCUCUGGGGUCUAGAUUUUACAUUCAAAAGUGCAUUAUGAAUUAAUCAGAAGUCAUUAAGUUUUUUGCUUUUGCCAUUUUUCCUCUACCUAUCAAGCUUAGUAAUAAUUAUAAUCGUCUAUUUCUUCUUCAGUGAGCUGCUUGGUUUAGAUGAUAUUUAAAGGUAUAUAGUCAGACAUUUUUUUUAUUAUUUUAUGCAAAAAAUAUUGUUCUUGUAAUUUCCGACAGACUGAUGUAUCAUCAUUAAUCCAUUAAAAAGACAUAUGAAAAUACAUGAGUGCUUGUGAAAGCUCCCAUGUUGCCCUGCCAUCAUGAAUAGUGCCUGUGAUGAAAAUCACCUUUCUGCCUAAUCACAUUUUAUGUAUGUGGCUAGAGACUGGUCUCAUAUGCUGUAUGCCAAAAACAGAAGACAGGACACCUCACAGGCAUUUGUGUGGAGACAAAUUUCAAUUUCGGCUUGUUUCAUCAUGUCUGUGUUUUUUCAUUUGAGUAGGGGUCCCAUUCAUCAAAGAAGCAAAUGCACAAAGAAAAGAG